Molecule: microRNA precursor, 137 nt
Organism: Gossypium arboreum
Lineage: Eukaryota; Viridiplantae; Streptophyta; Magnoliopsida; Malvales; Malvaceae
Rfam family: MIR7502 microRNA precursor family
Source: Rfam
UGCUAAAAAUUUCAUCUAUUUGUACUGUUAAAAACUGGCGUAGUUGAUGAAAUAACUAAACAGUGACAUGCUACAUGUACCUUAUGCUGAUGUAUAAAAAUUAAUUUUUAACAGCAAAAAUAAUAAAAUUUUAAACA